Molecule: ribosomal RNA, 158 nt
Filed under: uncultured eukaryote
Lineage: Eukaryota
Description: 5.8S ribosomal RNA
Rfam family: 5.8S ribosomal RNA
About the family: 5.8S ribosomal RNA (5.8S rRNA) is a component of the large subunit of the eukaryotic ribosome. It is transcribed by RNA polymerase I as part of the 45S precursor that also contains 18S and 28S rRNA. Functionally, it is thought that 5.8S rRNA may be involved in ribosome translocation.
Source: RNAcentral
AAACUUUCAACAAUGGAUCUCUUGGUUCCGGCAUCGAUGAAGAACGCAGCGAAAUGCGAUAAGUAAUGUGAAUUGCAGAAUUCCGUGAAUCAUCGAAUCUUUGAACGCACAUUGCGCCCUCUGGAAUUCCGGGGGGCAUGCCUGUCCGAGCGUCAUUG